UAGUCCACGCUGUAAACGAUGAGAACUAGCCGUUGGAACUGUUAUGGUUUUAGUGGCGCAGCAAACGCGUUAAGUUCUCCGCCUGGGGAGUACGGUCGCAAGAUUAAAACUCAAAUGAAUUGACGGGGGCCCGCACAAGCGGUGGAGCAUGUGGUUUAAUUCGAUGCAACGCGAAGAACCUUACCUACUCUUGACAUCCAUAGAACUUUCCAGAGAUGGAUUGGUGCCUUCGGGAACUAUGAGACAGGUGCUGCAUGGCUGUCGUCAGCUCGUGUUGUGAAAUGUUGGAUUAAGUCCCGUAACGAGCGCAACCCUUAUCCUUAAUUGCCAUCAUUUAGUUGGGCACUUUAAGGAGACUGCCGGUGAUAAACCGGAGGAAGGUGGGGACGACGUCAAGUCAUCAUGGCCCUUACGAGUAGGGCUACACACGUGCUACAAUGGUGAGUACAGAGGGAGGCGAAGCAGUGAUGUGGAGCGAAUCCCAGAAAGCUCAUCGUAGUCCGGAUUG
This 508-nucleotide ribosomal RNA is filed under the name uncultured bacterium. RNAcentral's name for it is "bacterial SSU rRNA". It matches the Rfam family "Bacterial small subunit ribosomal RNA", at positions 791 to 1300 of the family's 1533-position model. The record is from RNAcentral.